Long non-coding RNA from Macrosteles quadrilineatus (aster leafhopper), 531 nucleotides. RefSeq lists it as uncharacterized. NCBI's taxonomy places the organism in Eukaryota, Metazoa, Arthropoda, Insecta, Hemiptera, Cicadellidae. The record is from RefSeq and is a predicted model, not a curated record. The transcript has 3 exons.
AUAUGUUAUUACCACGAAUACUUUAAGUAUUCGUGGCUAUUAAGUUACCUAAUAAAUCCAUUCAUGUUAUUGUCUCCUUGAUUUGAUAAUUGACUAAAAUUAAAUAGAUUAACUUAGAUUAUUAACCUCUAAGCCUUGAAAGUAUUAAUCAGAAGAUUCUGAGGAGUGGCGGUAAGGUUCAUACCCUAAUCAACCGACUCUAGGCCUAGUCAGAUUUCAAGUUUGCGUACCUCUAACCAACAUUCGUCAAAUGCAUUGGAGUGUGGUCACAGAUCUCUCUAUUACGUAAUAAAUAAAUCCAGCGGUGAACAGAAGACUGAAGAAGGAACAUCACAGGUGCUGUUACUUAGACCUUUCUAUAGCAUUGAUGAAUAUUUGUCUUGGCAGCAACUAGAGUGACUACGUUACAAGUUAAAUCAUCUUUCUACUGCAACUACUCCAAUCAACAAAGAUUUUUAAUCGAUAACAUAUUGUAUUGAUGCCUUUUUCAAUCUUAAAAAUUGUAAAAUAAAGUACUCUUGUAUUCUUGUA